AGAGUUUGAUCCUGGCUCAGAACGAACGUUGGCGGCGUGGAUUAGGCAUGCAAGUCGAACGAAUCCCUUGGGGCUUGCUCCAAGGGGGAAGUGGCGAAAGGGGCAGUAAGGCAUGGGUAACCUACCCUGGGGACGAGGAUAGCCUUCCUAACGGAAGGGUAAUACUUGGCGAUCUGGCGACGAGGCAUCUCGUUACCAGGAAAUGAAUUUCGCCUCGGGAGGGGCUCAUGUAGUAUUAGCUGGUUGGUGGGGUAACGGCCUACCAAGGCGAAGAUGCUUAGCGGGUGUGAGAGCACGACCCGCGCCACUGGCACUGAGACACUGGCCAGACUCCUACGGGAGGCUGCAGUCGAGGAUCUUCGGCAAUGGGCGCAAGCCUGACCGAGCGACGCCGCGUGUGCGAUGAAGGCCUUCGGGUUGUAAAGCACUGU
RNAcentral lists this ribosomal RNA (431 nucleotides) under uncultured bacterium. Its description in RNAcentral is "bacterial SSU rRNA". It matches the Rfam family "Bacterial small subunit ribosomal RNA", at positions 8 to 436 of the family's 1533-position model. The record is from RNAcentral.